This 56-nucleotide transfer RNA is filed under the name Dipodomys ordii (Ord's kangaroo rat). It matches the Rfam family "tRNA", at positions 8 to 62 of the family's 71-position model. From Rfam's summary of the family: Transfer RNA (tRNA) molecules are approximately 80 nucleotides in length. The record is from Rfam by way of RNAcentral. Lineage: Eukaryota; Metazoa; Chordata; Mammalia; Rodentia; Heteromyidae.
UGGCUCAGUGGUAGAGCGCUUGCCUUGCAUGCAUGAUGCCGUGGGUUCAAUUCCUC